AGAGUUUGAUCCUGGCUCAGGACGAACGCUGACGGCGUGCUUUAGACAUGCAAGUCGAACGAGAAAGCCCUUCGGGGUGAGUAAAGUGGCGAACGGGUGAGUAACACGUGGGCAACCUGCCCCUCGCAGGGGGACAACCGGGGGAAACUCCGGCUAAUACCCCGUAAGCUUGUCGGACCGCAUGGUACUGACAAGGAAAGGUAGCUUCGGCCAUCCGGCGAGGGAUGGGCCCGCGGUACAUUAGCUAGUUGGUGGGGUAACGGCCCACCAAGGCGACGAUGUAUAGCUGGUCUGAGAGGAUGAUCAGCCACACUGGGACUGAGACACGGCCCAGACUCCUACGGGAGGCAGCAGUCGGGAAUCUUGCGCAAUGGGCGAAAGCCUGACGCAGCAACACCGUGUGAGCGACGAAGGCCUUCGGGUCGUAAAGCUCUGUUGUUGGGGACGAAGGGUUAGGGGUUAAUAGCCCCGAGCCUGACGGUACCCUUCGAGGAAGCCCCGGCUAACUACGUGCCAGCAGCCGCGGUAAUACGUAGGGGGCGAGCGUUGUCCGGAAUUAUUGGGCGUAAAGAGCGUGUAGGCGGUUCGGUAAGUCUGCCGUGAAAACCCAGGGCUCAACCCUGGGCGUGCGGUGGAUACUGCCGGGCUAGAGGGUGGUAGAGGCGAGUGGAAUUCCCGGUGUAGCGGUGAAAUGCGCAGAUAUCAGGAGGAACACCGGUGGCGAAGGCGGGUCUCUGGGCCGAUACUGACGCUGAGGAGCGAAAGCGUGGGGAGCGAACAGGAUUAGAUACCCCCGUAGUCC
This 802-nucleotide ribosomal RNA is filed under the name uncultured Rubrobacter sp. Its description in RNAcentral is "bacterial SSU rRNA". It matches the Rfam family "Bacterial small subunit ribosomal RNA", at positions 8 to 796 of the family's 1533-position model. The record is from RNAcentral. Lineage: Bacteria; Bacillati; Actinomycetota; Rubrobacteria; Rubrobacterales; Rubrobacteraceae.